GAUGAACGCUAGCGGGAGGCCUAACACAUGCCAGCCGAGCGGGAUGUGUUGGUUAUCUUGCUACCUAACAAUGAGAGCGGCGUACGGGUGCGUAGCACGUGUGCAACCUGCCUUUAUCUGGGGGAUAGCCUUUCGAAAGGAAGAUUAAUACCCCAUAACAUAUUGAUUGGCAUCAGUUGAUAUUGAAAGCUCCGGCGGAUCGAGAUGGGCACGCGUAAGCUUAGCUAGUUGGUGAUGUAACGGCUCAGCAACGCUGCGAUCUUUAGUGGGCCUGAGAGGGGGCCCCCCCACACUGGGACCGCGACACAGACCAGACUGCUACGGGACGCAGCAGUGACGAACAUUGUACACUGGGGGAGGGCCUGAUCCAGCCAUCCCGCGUGAAGGACUAAGGACCUAGGGUUUGUAUACUUCUUUUAAACAGGGAUAAUCCUACUCUCGUGAGGGUAGCUGAAGGUACUGUAUGAAUAAGCACCGGCUAACUCCGUG
This 489-nucleotide ribosomal RNA is filed under the name uncultured bacterium. RNAcentral describes it as "partial 16S ribosomal RNA". It matches the Rfam family "Bacterial small subunit ribosomal RNA", at positions 28 to 507 of the family's 1533-position model. The record is from RNAcentral.